This 254-nucleotide ribosomal RNA is filed under the name uncultured bacterium. RNAcentral's name for it is "partial 16S ribosomal RNA". It matches the Rfam family "Bacterial small subunit ribosomal RNA", at positions 524 to 776 of the family's 1533-position model. The record is from RNAcentral.
UACAGAGGUGGCAAGCGUUGUUCGGAAUUACUGGGCGUAAAGAGCUCGUAGGCGGUGUGUCGCGUCGGCCGUGAAAACUCACAGCUUAACUGUGGGCGUGCGGGCGAUACGGGCAGACUGGAGUACUGCAGGGGAGACUGGAAUUCCUGGUGUAGCGGUGGAAUGCGCAGAUAUCAGGAGGAACACCGGUGGCGAAGGCGGGUCUCUGGGCAGUAACUGACGCUGGAGGAGCGAAAGCGUGGGGAGCGAACAGG